AGGAUAAACGCUGGCGGCGUGCCUAACACAUGCAAGUCGAACGUCCUACGCAAGUAGGGAGUGGCGGACGGGUGAGUAACACGUGGGCAAUCUACCUUUCGGUGAGGAAUACCGGCGAGAAAUCGCCGACAAUACCGCAUACGCUUCGCAAGAAGCAAAGUCGCAAGGCGCCGGAGGAGGAGCCUGCGCCCGAUUAGCUCGUUGGUGGAGUAAUGGUCUACCAAGGCGACGAUCGGUAGCUGGUCUGAGAGGAUGAUCAGCCACACUGGGAUUGAGAACGGCCCAGACUCCUACGGGGGGCAGCAGUGAGGAAUUUUCGUCAAUGGGGGAAACCCUGAACGAGCAACGCCGCGUGCAGGAGACACUUUUCGGAGCGUAAACUGCUUUUCUCGGGACGAGUAAGGACGGUACCGAGGAAUCGAGCCCCGGCUAACUACGUGCCAGCAGCCGC
Molecule: ribosomal RNA, 451 nt
Filed under: uncultured bacterium
Lineage: Bacteria
Description: SSU rRNA
Rfam family: Bacterial small subunit ribosomal RNA
Source: RNAcentral